GGUGGAAACGAGCCGAGCUCGAGCGAGCUUAUGUCAGCUCAAAUUCGACUUGAAAUUAAUUUCGAGCCUAAAUCUAGGCUCAAGCUCGGCUUGAAAUUAAUUCGAGCCGAGCUCGAGCGAGCCUAAUUUCGAGUCGAGCCGAGCUCGAGCUCUAAACGAGCCUAUUGAAAUUCUCGACAUUACAUAAUCAAUAGUUUAAUUUUUAUAUAACAUUACCUAUAAUUUGAUGCAACAUGUUCAAUAAUUUAAAAUACAAAAUAAUUGCAAGAAAUGUGAGCUAGGGUGACUGCCUGAUUGGGUGAGGGUUUGAGGGAGAACGAGAGAGAGAGGGGGGGGAAAAAAAUUAGGGAUUUGAGAAUUUGAAUGUUAUCAUGUUUUAGGAUUAUGUGCAACAGUGAAAGUCUGAAAGAGAGAGUGUGUUAUGUAAAUUUAGAGUUGGGGCUCAAUUGCACGGUUGUACUUGUUGGAUUUAUUUUAUGGGCAAAC
This 486-nucleotide long non-coding RNA is filed under the name Ananas comosus (pineapple). RNAcentral describes it as "long non-coding RNA (ACOM_LNC003156)". Lineage: Eukaryota; Viridiplantae; Streptophyta; Magnoliopsida; Poales; Bromeliaceae. The record is from RNAcentral.